RNAcentral lists this ribosomal RNA (428 nucleotides) under uncultured Chlamydiae bacterium. Its description in RNAcentral is "bacterial SSU rRNA". It matches the Rfam family "Bacterial small subunit ribosomal RNA", at positions 958 to 1385 of the family's 1533-position model. The record is from RNAcentral. Lineage: Bacteria; Pseudomonadati; Chlamydiota; Chlamydiia.
AACGCGAAGAACCUUACCUGGGCUCGAAAUGUAGAGGACGAGACAAGAGAUUGUCUUUCCCGAAAGGGUCUCUAUAUAGGUGCUGCAUGGCUGUCGUCAGCUCGUGCCGUGAGGUGUUUGGUUAAGUCCAGCAACGAGCGCAACCCUUAUCGUUAGUUGCCAACGCGUAAAGGCGGGAACUCUAACGAGACUGCCUAGGUUAACUAGGAGGAAGGUGAGGAUGACGUCAAGUCCGCAUGGCCUUUAUGUCCAGGGCUACACACGUGCUACAAUGGUCGGUACAGAAGGCAGCGAAACCGCGAGGUGGAGCAAAUCCUAGAAAACCGAUCUCAGUUCAGAUUGCAGUCUGCAACUCGGCUGCAUGAAGUUGGAAUUGCUAGUAAUGGCGUGUCAGCAACAACGCCGUGAAUACGUUCCCGGGCCUUGUA